CCAACUGAAAGUUAAUUAAAAUGAAGUAGUAAUAAGUUCAAGUAGAAAUGAUAAAUAAGUCAGAGUGUUUGCAGCGAAAAAAAACGUGUGAGUUAUGCAUAUGGAGAUGCAUACUCAAGGUUUCAUUACAUAAACAUCAAAAGGGAAAUCCGCUCAACACCGAUCCAUUCCAUCGCUUGCUCAACCUGCACAUUUAGAAAUACAUGCAGGGCUGAGUAUAAAAAUACUCAGUGACAUAAGCCGAAAAUACAACAUGCAUACAUAUAUAAAUUGAACUGCCAACAGUAACACACAGGGGUUUUCUUGAAUGACCUGCGCUUACUAAAACAUUUCAUUCAUUUUCAUAAAGGUGGAUGCGCAUCCCAUUUUCAGUCUAUAUGAUCCAUAUCUGUCCUUUCUGUCACGCGCCGGGAAGGAGGCCUCCUUACCACGGACGCCAAGACCGGUCGCAAGCGACUCGCGGUCUCCAUGAGUGUACACGUUAACCCUAGCUAGCGACCUUUGUCUAGCAUAGGAUCCCAAUUGGAUUUCCUUUAAAGUUGGCGAACCAACACAGAUAGGAUACAUAUAAAAACAUAAACAUUUUUGGCAGUCAAUCAUUUCAUAAACAUUUCAUUUCAUUUCAUGAACAUUUCAUUUUCAUUUCAUAAGAGUCAUUUAUCAUUUGGGCAUAAUAAUAAACUGAAAUUAACAGUUAAAAUCAUCUCAUGCAUAUAUUCGUAUAAGAGGCCUACGACACACAGGGGAUCUCUAUAUACGUAUAGUAUAAAGUAAUGCCCACCUCAAUUGUUCUUAAAGCUGGCGUGGAGUCGUUUCUUCUUCGGCUUCACUUUCUGUCGCCCGGACCUUCAUUGAUGAAGAGUCGAUAAGUUCGUGAAGAAAUUGUCAUAAGACAAAGUCUAAUUCUACGUGCCUAGGGUAUCUUUUAAUGUUUUAGGGUUCUAGCAUCCAUAAUUUGUUACAUUAAAGACAGUCAAAAAUCAAUCAUACCUCGUCUAAUCUCAUUCAAACACAUAGGCAACACAAACACAUAAGACACAUAAGAAUCACAAUCAAACAUCAUCAAAAUGCUCUGUUUUUACACUGACUCAACUUCAAAAUUUAAUCUGUUCUGACUCCGACAUCUCCUGGACUCGAGACUCAUACCGAAAGAAAGAUCUUCGAGUCUAGUUUCAUAUAAAAAAAAGUAGAGUCGAAAACUCCAAGUGGUUUGAGAGAUAUGACGUUUUUACCACGAUCUACCAUGUUCGGCAGUUUUGAACAAUCGAAAACUUGGAUUUUUGAAAAAUAGUAAACGUUGUCAAACUGGGCUCAACUUUGGUGGAUAUCUACCUAACACAAUAAGGUUAAUACCAUAAAAAUGUGGAAAGCUAGAUCACACAGGAAGCUACUGAAAUGAAUGACUCUUUCCUCUGUUCUCUGAAAUUCUCGGUAGUAAUGUGCAGUUUAGGUUUUGCAUUUUAAAGAAGUAUCAAACGAAGUUGGAAUGGCUUGAAAUUUUACCAGGGUACUCAAGACUCAUGUAGGGACUUGCUAUAAAAUUAUCAAAGCUAUUAGACAUCGACAAACCGUCGAUCACAGUAGGUCAGUAGGCCUACGAAAUUCAUAUUUAUAAGUCCUUAAAAAAAUAAUUUAUAUAAAUAAAGAAAUAAGAGUUUAAUCCCAAAAAUAUUCAUUAAAAGUCCAUCAUAAUUUAAAUAAAAGAACGGACCUCAUUUUAAAUAAAUAGUCCCAAACUCGUUACGCACAUAUACUAAAUCUUUCAUGAAACAUCCUUUAAAAUAAACUUUGAUACAUAGAAAAUAAUUCAACAACUUGAGCUCUUAAGGGGUUGUUUUGCAACAGACAUCAAAUCUGCCUCGGAUCUCCAAAUGAGGCUCCAAAAGACAUUCUGGAAACUAGACAUUUCAAGGAUCAUUCUCCAAUUUGAAUCGAAUGAAAAAAAAUUCAAACGAGCAAGAUAUGCCCUCUCAAAGAUGGGUAUUUAACAAGCAAAAAUCUGAAAAUUUCAGAUUUCCAGAUUACAACCAAGUCAGUGGGCUUUCUUUAAAAAUUCAUAUCUCCCUUUACAAAACUCCACUGGGAACCCCAAGGGUCAAUCUGGAAACUAGGGAGAGAUCAUAACACUCUCCAGUUGGAUUUACUCCAAGAACAUUCAUGGUUUAGAAGAUAUGACUGUCUAAAUUUCAGUGCACAAAAAGAGUUCAAGUUUGGCAGAUUCAGAACAUAAAUCGGAAAAACCACUUUAGGCGUCACCAAAAAUUCUAAAACCGAACAAGUAAGUUCCCAACAUGUCAGUGAAUAUUCAGUAGAAAGAUAGGCUUGAGAAUCAAAUAUUUAAGUCGGCCUUUGCCACCUCAAAGUCGUAGGUUUGUAAAAUCUACUGGAUGGUACAAGGAAUAAGAACUAGAUUUCAAGAAUUUAUACCGGUUGUUUCCCUUACUCAAAAAUGGUGAGACCGAUGUCAAAAGAAAGAUACGGGAGUCUAGAGUGACAUAUUCAAGUUUCAAAGGUUUUCACCGAUUGAAACUUUACUUAUGGCCUCUCAAAGAUUGUUUACCAAAAAUGUAUUCCAGAUGGGCAGUGAUGUUUACAAAUUCAUAAAUAAAUCAUGCGAGCUCUAAAUCUUCUGAAAUUUUACCAUAGUAUAGAAAACAUAUUAGAGAUGAUACACAAUUAAUUUGGGAAUUUUUGGGAACCGUUUGGAUGGCUGGAAUCGCCUUGCAAAACACUUCCGAGCAGUGUGCUUAUGGCAGAUUCGCUGCCUUACCUCAUGCUACGGUUUUCACCCAUAACUCUACCAAAUAUCAUCCAAAUCAUAAACAUAUCCUCACAUAAUAUAGCACACAAAUGUGUAAAAAAUCCAUGGCCAUAAAGCAUUUUCAGUUGAGAAAAAGCAAAGAAAAACUCACCCUCGAAGCACAACCUUCACUCUAUAGUUUUCCCACACUCUCCC
RNAcentral lists this long non-coding RNA (2956 nucleotides) under Salvia miltiorrhiza (redroot sage). RNAcentral's name for it is "long non-coding RNA (SMIL_LNC000488)". Lineage: Eukaryota; Viridiplantae; Streptophyta; Magnoliopsida; Lamiales; Lamiaceae. The record is from RNAcentral.